This 1026-nucleotide long non-coding RNA is filed under the name Calidris pygmaea (Spoon-billed sandpiper). RNAcentral describes it as "lncRNA (ENSCPGG00000013776.1)". Lineage: Eukaryota; Metazoa; Chordata; Aves; Charadriiformes; Scolopacidae. The record is from RNAcentral.
GAUGCUUGCAGGGCAAGGGAGCAGAGUAAAGCCAGGCUUCAGGACCAUAGUUCCAUCUCCAGAAACAGAGAUGUAUUUUCACCUGCGGAGGGAGAGCUUCUCUCUCCGUGCCACCGAUGAGGCACUCGUCUGUGGGAAAGCGGGAGGGGUGGUGGGACUGGGAGCUGCUGGCUUGUGGGAAGUGCCAAGGAUGGACAGUUCAGGAUGGUCCACUUGUUGAGGAUCUGUACAAUGCCAGGGGAACCAGGAAUUGGGCACUUGCUGUGUGGCAACGUCGAUGGUGGAGGAGUGCUCACCUCCAGUAUGGAGAGAGGGAGCGAUGGGAGUGAUGAUGCUGCUGCAGGGCCGUGGCAGAUGCUUCUGCCUGUUGAUUUUAGGGCAUCCAGCCACUGGGCUUCCAGGGUGCGCGUGAGCUGGGCUGCUCCCCUUCAUGCUCAUGGCUCAGCAGAAGCUGCGUGGGUGCUCUUGGAUGCUGGAGGAGGAAGGUGUGUUCCCAGAACGGAAGGCGGGCAAUGGAAAAGCUGGUGGCCAAGCACAGCACCAGGCAGGGGCUUGGUGACAGGGCGCAGAAGGGGACAGUCUCUACGGGGCUGGCGAUGUACCUCUGCGGUGUGUGCACGCUGGGAGGAGGUUUCCAGCGACUGGGUGCCUGUGGUGCAGGGUGUGCAGUGUGUGUCUCUGCAAUGCAGGGGGGCAGUACUUCUGUCACUGCCUCUGCAGCGGGUGGGGUGGACACUGGCGGGCACCCAGUGCGUGCGUGCGGUGUCCCAGCCCAGAGUGGGAGGGAAUGGGAAGGAACAGUGUGUCUGCAGCGAGGGAAGGGAACAGUGUUUGCUGGCGCAGGGUGUGGGGUUGCCUAGUGACUGCGCGGCAGAGGGGAGAUGCUGUGCCUCCCAUCGCAGCGUGCAGGGGCUGUGCAGUGCCGCGAAGGCAUGGGGUCUGCCCACUGGGGUACAUCUGCACCUCUGUGUGGGGUGGGCAGCGAGUCUGAGUCCCUCUAAUACGGGGGUGGGCAGUGCCCCCUUG